GAUGAACGCUGGCGGCGUGCCUAAUACAUGCAAGUCGAGCGAACAGACGAGGAGCUUGCUCCUCUGACGUUAGCGGCGGACGGGUGAGUAACACGUGGAUAACCUACCUAUAAGACUGGGAUAACUUCGGGAAACCGGGGCUAAUACCGGAUAAUAUAUUGAACCGCAUGGUUCAAUAGUGAAAGACGGUUUUGCUGUCACUUAUAGAUGGAUCCGCGCCGCAUUAGCUAGUUGGUAAGGUAACGGCUUACCAAGGCGACGAUGCGUAGCCGACCUGAGAGGGGGAUCGGCCACACUGGAACUGAGACACGGUCCAGACUCCUACGGGAGGCAGCAGUAGGGAAUCUUCCGCAAUGGGCGAAAGCCUGACGGAGCAACGCCGCGUGAGUGAUGAAGGUCUUCGGAUCGUAAAACUCUGUUAUUAGGGAAGAACAAAUGUGUAAGUAACUAUGCACGUCUUGACGGUACCUAAUCAGAAAGCCACGGCUAACUACGUG
This 497-nucleotide ribosomal RNA is filed under the name uncultured bacterium. RNAcentral describes it as "partial 16S ribosomal RNA". It matches the Rfam family "Bacterial small subunit ribosomal RNA", at positions 28 to 507 of the family's 1533-position model. The record is from RNAcentral.